RNAcentral lists this ribosomal RNA (305 nucleotides) under uncultured bacterium. RNAcentral describes it as "partial 16S ribosomal RNA". It matches the Rfam family "Bacterial small subunit ribosomal RNA", at positions 508 to 807 of the family's 1533-position model. The record is from RNAcentral.
ACAGCAGCCGCCGCGGUAAUACGUAGGGUGCGAGCGUUAAUCGGAAUUACUGGGCGUAAAGCGUGCGCAGGCGGUUCGGAAAGAGAGAUGUGAAAUCCCAGGGCUUAACCUUGGAACUGCAUUUUUAACUACCGGACUAGAGUGUGUCAGAGGGAGGUGGAAUUCCGCGUGUAGCAGUGAAAUGCGUAGAGAUGCGGAGGAACAUCAGUGGCGAAGGCGGCCAUCUAGGACAACACUGACGCUGAGGCACGAAAGCGUGGGGAGCAAACAGGAUUAGAUACCCCCGUAGUCCCUGUCUCUUAUAC